UCCACCCCCCCGAUCAUGACCUGGAAUGUGCGCGGUGUAAACUCCCCGGCGAAGAGGGAGGCAGUGCGGGAAGUGGUUGCAGCUCACCGCACCGCCAUCCUUUGCCUCCAAGAGACAAAAUUAGAUGUUUGGACACCGGAGCUUGUAUGCGACAUCGGUGGUGGCACCCUGCUCGGCUGUGCUGUGCUGCCGGCCAUCGGCACGCGCGGCGGUGUUGCCAUCCUUUGG
Molecule: ribosomal RNA, 228 nt
Filed under: Triticum aestivum (bread wheat)
Lineage: Eukaryota; Viridiplantae; Streptophyta; Magnoliopsida; Poales; Poaceae
Description: partial small subunit ribosomal RNA
Source: RNAcentral